Molecule: ribosomal RNA, 301 nt
Filed under: uncultured bacterium
Lineage: Bacteria
Description: partial 16S ribosomal RNA
Rfam family: Bacterial small subunit ribosomal RNA
Source: RNAcentral
CAGUAGCCGCGGUAAAACGGAGGGUGCAAGCGUUAAUCGGAAUUACUGGGCGUAAAGCGUGCGUAGGCGGUUCGUUAAGUCUGUUGUGAAAGCCCCGGGCUCAACCUGGGAAUGGCAAUGGAUACUGGCGAGCUAGAGUGUGUCAGAGGAUGGUGGAAUUCCCGGUGUAGCGGUGAAAUGCGUAGAGAUCGGGAGGAACAUCAGUGGCGAAGGCGGCCAUCUGGGACAACACUGACGCUGAGGCACGAAAGCGUGGGGAGCAAACAGGAUUAGAGACCCCUGUAGUCCCUGUCUCUUAUAC